AUUGGGCAGGUGAUGAAUCUCAUAUUUUUAAUGGGUAAUUUGCGUCUGAAACAUUUCAUUGAUGCUUUAUAACCUUGGAGACCUGAUGCCCUUG
Small nucleolar RNA from Hevea brasiliensis (rubber tree), 94 nucleotides. NCBI's taxonomy places the organism in Eukaryota, Viridiplantae, Streptophyta, Magnoliopsida, Malpighiales, Euphorbiaceae. The record is from RefSeq and is a predicted model, not a curated record.